Molecule: long non-coding RNA, 1488 nt
Organism: Pygocentrus nattereri (red-bellied piranha)
Lineage: Eukaryota; Metazoa; Chordata; Actinopteri; Characiformes; Serrasalmidae
Source: Ensembl
UUUCUUAAUGUAGCUUCAACGUCUGUUUUUGUGUAUCUGUAUAGGUGUUCAUCUCAUUCUGAUUGGUGGAGUCUGUCAGGUGAUUGCUGGCUUGUUGUCCUUCCGCAAAUAUGACCAUCUCAGUGGUACAGCUUUCAUUGGCUAUGCAGCUCUUUGGGGCAGUUAUGGUGCAACAAGAAUAUUCCUGGGAGCAAACCAGCACAAUCCAAGCAUUCCCAUGAAUACCUCAACCAUGAUAAAUAUUACACUCGAGAACCUUCUCUCCAACUCAACGCCCAUCAAUGAAACAUUCGUCCCUAACUACCUCAGUAAAUCUGCCAUAGCUGGGCUGGUGCCUUACACCUUGCUCUCUUUGCUGUUGGCGUUCUGCUCAGCCACAGUGAAUUACAUAAUGCCCUUUGUGUUUGGGGCCAUCACCCUAACGUUAGUCUUUGAAGCUGUGGGACUGGUAACCGGAUGGGCUCUGGUGGUCUCAGGAGUGUUUGAGCUCCUAAUCCUGCUCUUUGCCAUCUAUGGCUCUGCUGCACUGCUCAUCAAGGGAGUGGCCCAACGCUAUGUCCUCAAGGGCUUUGGUAACCCUCUCUUCAAUGUGCUCCUCCUUGGGACAACCAAUGCCAGCAGCUCCCAGAGUGUAGGCCAGGAGAAGAAAAAGAACACCAAAUAUGCUGAACCUAUGGCCUUAGGCUUCUUCUGUGACACAGUCUCAGCAUUCAUCUUCGCCUUCUAUGCCUUUGGUUACUUCCCAUCGAUCACAGUAAGUACCAUGUGGAUAUCCAUCAAUUCAGCUGCCCAGCUCCUGUCCAGUUACUAUGCAUACCUGAGGCAAGAUUGCUACCAUGCCACCAAGUUUGGCCUGCACUGCACCUUCUGGCUUGUGAAGACCUGGGAAGAGUAUGUAGUAUCUGUGGUAAUUGGAAGGAGUGAAGCAACUACCGGACGACAGGCCAUGGUGGGUGACUGGUUCUUCUUGGCAGCAGCUCUGGUGCUCUGUGUCGCAAGCCUGAAUAUGGACACCCUGGAGCUCAUUCACAAUGCCUUCUUCUUCCUCCUAACCAUCUCCACAAUCUCCCAGAUCCCUCUUGAUAGGUAUUACAUCUUUUUCGGAGUGGCUUGUUCCUUCUUCACAGCUCUUUCACUGUAUGGCACAUUUACACGGCUCAUCAACAGCAUUGCCGAGAAGUCUCUGAUUCCUGUUGGACCCCAACCUGUCUCAAAUGAACGACUCCAGAGUGGCCUUGGGUGUCUGAAGAAGAAGUCUCCACAGGAACAACUCCAGGGAAGGGGUUCCCAACUUCCUGACGCUCUGUUUUACCUCACCAAUGGAGUUGCAGCUCUCUCAGCCAUCCACAGCAGCCAGCCCCAACAGAGCUUUCUAGAUAUGACCGUACCCUGGGUGCUCAUCCCAGGGGCCAUCAUCCAGGUAUACGUCAGCCGACUGCAGUUUCAAGGUGGCCAGAGGUUUGGCUCUGUUAUCCCAUCCUUCUAUGU